Long non-coding RNA from Equus caballus (horse), 445 nucleotides. RefSeq lists it as uncharacterized. The record is from RefSeq and is a predicted model, not a curated record. Lineage: Eukaryota; Metazoa; Chordata; Mammalia; Perissodactyla; Equidae.
UCAUUGCAGGUUUUAAGCAGAGGAACAACAUUAUCUGACUUAUGUUUCCAAAGCAUUGCUCUUGCUGCUGUGUUGACAGUGAACCAAGAGGGAGCAGUAUAGAAGCGGAGAAACCAGUUAAGAGAUGAUGGCAACAACCCAAUGAGAGGUGACGGUAUCCAGGAAGAGGAGGGUCACAAAUGGCUGUUUAAAUCAAAUACCACUUGAUGAACUCAACCUACAAAUGACAAUGCCAACAGGAUUACAAAAUAAAACUUCACAAACAUUUCUUGAAAGACUACCAAUUCACUCAUACUCUACCAUCUAAGAUGUAACCUUUCCAGGCAUUGGCCAAUUCCAGUGUGAUAAAUAAAAUUAUCUUCAAAAUUGGAGUAUGACGUCAUCACAAACAUGGAAUGAUGGAAACAAAGAUAUAACCAGUGCUCAUUUAUCCAGAAUGACAGGA